UUGCGNNUGGGCGAAAGCCUGACGCAGCGACGCCGCGUGGGGGAUGAAGCUUCUCGGAGUGUAAACCCCUUUCGACUGGGACGAAUGCCCGCAAGGGAGUGACGGUACCAGUAGAAGAAGCCCCGGCUAACUACGUGCCAGCAGCCGCGGUAAGACGUAGGGGGCCAGCGUUGUUCGGAAUUACUGGGUGUAAAGGGUUCGUAGGCGGUGUGGCAAGUCGGGAGUGAAAUCUCUGGGCUCAACUCAGAGGCUGCUUCCGAAACUGCUGUGCUUGAGUGUGGGAGAGGCGCGUGGAAUUGCAGGUGUAGCGGUGAAAUGCGUAGAUAUCUGCAGGAACACCCGUGGCGAAAGCGGCGCGCUGGACCACAACUGACGCUGAGGAACGAAAGCUAGGGGAGCAAACAGGAUUAGAUACCCUGGUAGUCCUAGCCCUAAACGAUCAGGACUUGGGGUGCCGCCCGUUCGGGCGUCGUCCCGGAGCUAACGCGUUAAGUCCUGCACCUGGGGAGUACGGUCGCAAGACUGAAACUCAAAGAAAUUGACGGA
Molecule: ribosomal RNA, 546 nt
Filed under: uncultured bacterium
Lineage: Bacteria
Description: bacterial SSU rRNA
Rfam family: Bacterial small subunit ribosomal RNA
Source: RNAcentral